UACGGGGGGAGCAAGCGUUGUUCGGAAUCACUGGGCGUAAAGGGCGUGUAGGCGGUUCGGUAAGUGGGAUGUGAAAUCCCCGGGCUCACCCCGGGACCUGCAUCCCAAACUGCUGAGCUUGAGUACAGGAGAGGGUGGGGGAAUUCCAGGUGUAGCGGUGAAAUGCGUAGAUAUCUGGAGGAACACCGGUGGCGAAGGCGCCCACCUGGCCUGCUACUGACGCUGAGGCGCGAAAGCUAGGGGAGCAAACGGG
Molecule: ribosomal RNA, 253 nt
Filed under: uncultured bacterium
Lineage: Bacteria
Description: partial 16S ribosomal RNA
Rfam family: Bacterial small subunit ribosomal RNA
Source: RNAcentral